GACGAACGCUGGCGGCGUGCUUAACACAUGCAAGUCGAACGGAAAGGCACUGCUAUUGUGCGCUGCUCGAGUGGCAAACGGGUGCGUAACACGAGAAUAACCUGCCCUUCACUUUCGGGUAACUUCAGGAAACUAGGGCUACUACCGGAUAGGAUCCCCUGCUCCAUGGUGGGGGUGGGAACUUCUCGGCGUGUGCGGAUGGAUUCGCGGCUUAAGAGCUUGUUAGUUGGGUAGUUGCUGACCAAGGAAUUGACGGGUCGGCGGCCCGUGAGGGUGGCCGGGGACAUGAGGACUGAGAGACGGCGCAGACUGCUACGGGAGGCAGCAGGCGGGAGUAUUGCACAGUGGGCCGGAGCCUGAGGCAGCGGCGCCGCGGGCGUGAUGACGGCUUGCGGGUUGUGAACCGCUUUCGCCUGUGACGAAGCGUGAGUGACGGUAAUGGAUAAAGAAGCACCGGCUAACUACGUG
Molecule: ribosomal RNA, 468 nt
Filed under: uncultured bacterium
Lineage: Bacteria
Description: partial 16S ribosomal RNA
Rfam family: Bacterial small subunit ribosomal RNA
Source: RNAcentral